This 326-nucleotide ribosomal RNA is filed under the name uncultured eukaryote. RNAcentral's name for it is "partial 18S ribosomal RNA". It matches the Rfam family "Eukaryotic small subunit ribosomal RNA", at positions 1470 to 1796 of the family's 1831-position model. The record is from RNAcentral.
CCCUUAGAUGUUCUGGGCCGCACGCGCGCUACACUGAUGCAUUCAACGAGCCUAGCCUUGACCGAGAGGUCCGGGUAAUCUUUGAAACUGCAUCGUGAUGGGGCUAGAUUAUUGCAAUUAUUAAUCUUCAACGAGGAAUGCCUAGUAAGCGUGAUUCAUCAAAUCGCGUUGAUUACGUCCCUGCCCUUUGUACACACCGCCCGUCGCUCCUACCGAUUGAGUGUGUUGGUGAGGAGCUCGGAUUGGCAGCAGGUGGUGGUUCGCCACCGCCUAUUGCUGAGAAGUCCUCCAAACCGCCCCACUUAGAGGAAGGAGAANUCGUANCA